RNAcentral lists this ribosomal RNA (551 nucleotides) under Achromobacter sp. SA048. RNAcentral describes it as "bacterial SSU rRNA". It matches the Rfam family "Bacterial small subunit ribosomal RNA", at positions 83 to 630 of the family's 1533-position model. Lineage: Bacteria; Pseudomonadati; Pseudomonadota; Betaproteobacteria; Burkholderiales; Alcaligenaceae. The record is from RNAcentral.
GUCUGGUGGCGAGUGGCGAACGGGUGAGUAAUGUAUCGGAACGUGCCUAGUAGCGGGGGAUAACUACGCGAAAGCGUGGCUAAUACCGCAUACGCCCUACGGGGGAAAGCAGGGGAUCGCAAGACCUUGCACUAUUAGAGCGGCCGAUAUCGGAUUAGCUAGUUGGUGGGGUAACGGCUCACCAAGGCGACGAUCCGUAGCUGGUUUGAGAGGACGACCAGCCACACUGGGACUGAGACACGGCCCAGACUCCUACGGGAGGCAGCAGUGGGGAAUUUUGGACAAUGGGGGAAACCCUGAUCCAGCCAUCCCGCGUGUGCGAUGAAGGCCUUCGGGUUGUAAAGCACUUUUGGCAGGAAAGAAACGUCAUGGGUUAAUACCCCGUGAAACUGACGGUACCUGCAGAAUAAGCACCGGCUAACUACGUGCCAGCAGCCGCGGUAAUACGUAGGGUGCAAGCGUUAAUCGGAAUUACUGGGCGUAAAGCGUGCGCAGGCGGUUCGGAAAGAAAGAUGUGAAAUCCCAGAGCUUAACUUUGGAACUGCAUUUUU